GAUGAACGCUGGCGGCGUGCCUAAUACAUGCAAGUCGAGCGAACGGACGAGAAGCUUGCUUUUCUGAUGUUAGCGGCGGACGGGUGAGUAACACGUGGAUAACCUACCUAUAAGACUGGGAUAACUUCGGGAAACCGGAGCUACUACCGGAUAAUAUUUUGAACCGCAUGGUUCAAAAGUGAAAGACGGUCUUCCUGUCACUUAUAGAUGGUUCCGCGCUGCAUUAGCUAGUUGGUAAGGUAACGGCUUACCAAGGCAACGAUGCAUAGCCGACCUGAGAGGGUGAUCGGCCACACUGGAACUGAGACACGGUCCAGACUCCUACGGGAGGCAGCAGUAGGGAAUCUUCCGCAAUGGGCGAAAGCCUGACGGAGCAACGCCGCGUGAGUGAUGAAGGUCUUCGGAUCGUAAAACUCUGUUAUUAGGGAAGAACAUAUGUGUAAGUAACUGUGCACAUCUUGACGGUACCUAAUCAGAAAGCCACGGCUAACUACGUG
This 497-nucleotide ribosomal RNA is filed under the name uncultured bacterium. RNAcentral's name for it is "partial 16S ribosomal RNA". It matches the Rfam family "Bacterial small subunit ribosomal RNA", at positions 28 to 507 of the family's 1533-position model. The record is from RNAcentral.